AAUCUCAGUUCGGAUUGAAGGCUGAAAUUCGCCUUCAUGAAGCUGGAAUUGCUAGUAAUGGCAGGUCAGCAUACUGCCGUGAAUACGUUCCCGGGCCUUGUACACACCGCCCGUCAAGCCAUGGGAGCCGGGGGUGCCUGAAGUUCGUGACCGCAAGGAGCGACCUAGGGCAAAACUGGUGACUGGGGCUAAGUCGUAACAAGGUAUC
Molecule: ribosomal RNA, 208 nt
Filed under: uncultured bacterium
Lineage: Bacteria
Description: partial 16S ribosomal RNA
Rfam family: Bacterial small subunit ribosomal RNA
Source: RNAcentral